UAAGGAUAGGGUAAUCUGCAUCCUGAGGUUUAGAACAAUAGUUGGUUAAUUUCCUUAAAAAGAAAAUAGUCGCGUAAUUGUUUCUAAGCCUUGGAGUGCAGAUUAUCUUUUCCUUA
RNAcentral lists this microRNA precursor (116 nucleotides) under Medicago truncatula (barrel medic). Its description in RNAcentral is "miR2111f stem-loop (mtr-MIR2111f)". The record is from miRBase by way of RNAcentral. Lineage: Eukaryota; Viridiplantae; Streptophyta; Magnoliopsida; Fabales; Fabaceae.